AGUUUAAAGGUUCUCACGAGAAGAGGAGCUCUCGCACCCGCUCUGUCUCCUGUGCCUGGGGUUACCAUGGAGACAAGGAGACUCUUGGCCUAGCCGGGAAGCUGCGCUGGGAGCUGGGCGGCUAUUCAGGUUCUGUUCCAUGAUUAUGGUGAGGCUGAAAUCUGUGAAGUAAUAGCAGAGUUCUUCACCACCUCUAGUGGGAACACCCAGUCCUUGGACAUAAGGAGACAGGCAAGACCAAGACCUCCGAGAUUUAUUUUGCUGAAUUUGCAGAAAAAACACUUCUAGUGUACCUGGAGAAUGUGCUUGUACCAGACAGCUUGUUUACAGAGCUUAAGAAACGGAUCCACCUCUGCUUUUUUGAGCACCUUGAGAAGUGGUUUGCUCAAUCCUUGUCCAACUCCUGGAUCAUUGUAACUGCCAAGAAAGAGGAGCUGAAUUCGGAGCUGCAACUGCGUCUUCACAUGCAUCAGCCAAGGCGCGAGCGCAUAGAAGAGGAUAUCCAUAAUGUCAGGGCUGGUACAUAUAUUCACUUUGGGCAUCACGUCUCUUUUUUAGAGCUCUCCAGGUGUGAGUCAUAACGAGGCACAGCAGUGGCUACUGUUAAUUGAUUCAAUAUUGGGGAAUAAUGUGGGUUCAAGGGGCCUUUUCUAGCUCCUACCCUAAACUUGCUAGUUUCUUACAUAUUGGGGGGUUUUGUUAACUUUCCUUUUUCAUAGCUCACAUUUGUUUCCUCCUGAGCUGAUUGUUAACAAUGCAGAGCAUUCACAGGUCCCAUUGAAGUCAAUAGGAGCAAUGGAUGCUCAGUCCCUGCUUCCCCACAAGCUUGGCUGCAGCUCCCCUUCGGGCAGAGAGCUGGGAAGCUAUCAUUUUGAUUUUCCUAAUGGAAAAUCAAUUUUUUGUGUGUGCAAAAUUGAAAUUUUCCCACAGAAAAAUUUGGCUUUGCAAAAGGAGCAUUAUCCGUUAUACCAGGGAUAGGCAACCUAUGGCAUGCGUGCGGAAGGCGGCACGCGAGCUGAUUUUCAGUGGCACUCACACUGCCCGGG
Molecule: long non-coding RNA, 1046 nt
Organism: Malaclemys terrapin pileata
Lineage: Eukaryota; Metazoa; Chordata; Testudines; Emydidae
Exons: 3
Source: RefSeq, a predicted model, not a curated record